GGGGGCGACUGGUUUCGACGAAGAUACUGAACCCUUUGGUGCAUGUCGGGCAGGCACGCCCGUUACCCAGGCCAUUUGCAAUAAUUGCAAACGACGACGUAGAACUAGCUUACGCUGCGUAAGUUACCCCGCUCGCGAUGUGUCCAUUCAUUUCGAAUCCGGGGCCAAUUAAAUGGAAUCGCCACACAGGGUUGUUGACUCGUGAUCAUGUGGGUUAAAAAGCAACGGAUCGACUCUCCGGGUACUUUGUCUGUUAAGUUUCCGAAGAGUGCUGAAUUAACAGACUAAACAUGUAGAUCCAUUGGCUGAUGGUUUUCGGACGUGGGUUCGAAUCCCACCGCUUCCACCA
Molecule: transfer-messenger RNA, 349 nt
Filed under: Mariprofundaceae
Lineage: Bacteria; Pseudomonadati; Pseudomonadota; Candidatius Mariprofundia; Mariprofundales
Also listed under: 5 other names
Description: CG1-02-49-23 sp002791545 Standard tmRNA
Rfam family: transfer-messenger RNA
About the family: Bacterial tmRNA, also known as 10Sa RNA or SsrA, is named for its dual tRNA and mRNA-like properties. Its role is to liberate the mRNA from a stalled ribosome.
Source: RNAcentral